CGGCGGACGGGUGAGUAACGCGUGGGUAACCUGCCUCAUACAGGGGGAUAACAGUUGGAAACGGCUGCUAAUACCGCAUAAGCGCACAGUACCGCAUGGUACGGUGUGAAAAACUCCGGUGGUAUGAGAUGGACCCGCGUCUGAUUAGGUAGUUGGUGGGGUAACGGCCUACCAGGCCGACGAUCAGUAGCCGACCUGAGAGGGUGACCGGCCACAUUGGGACUGAGACACGGCCCAA
Molecule: ribosomal RNA, 238 nt
Filed under: uncultured bacterium
Lineage: Bacteria
Description: partial 16S ribosomal RNA
Rfam family: Bacterial small subunit ribosomal RNA
Source: RNAcentral